Molecule: ribosomal RNA, 308 nt
Filed under: uncultured archaeon
Lineage: Archaea
Description: bacterial SSU rRNA
Rfam family: Archaeal small subunit ribosomal RNA
Source: RNAcentral
CGGUUUAGUAAGUUCCUGGUAAAAUCGGGUAGCUUAACUAUCUAUAUGCUAGGAAUACUGCUAUACUAGAGGGCGGGAGAGGUCUGAGGUACUACAGGGGUAGGGGUGAAAUCUUAUAAUCCUUGUAGGACCACCAGUGGCGAAGGCGUCAGACUGGAACGCGCCUGACGGUGAGGGACGAAAGCCAGGGGAGCGAACCGGAUUAGAUACCCGGGUAGUCCUGGCCGUAAACGAUGCAUACUAGGUGAUGGCACGGCCAUGAGCCGUGUCAGUGCCGUAGGGAAACCGUUAAGUGUGCCGCCUGGGAA